GUUGUACUCCCUCUGUUCAGAAAUACUUGUCAAAAAAAUGGAUAUAUCUAGAUGUAUUUUAGUUUUAGAUACAUUCAUUUUUUUUACAUUUCUACGACAAGUAUUUCAGGACGGAGGGAGUAGUAC
Triticum aestivum (bread wheat) is the source of this 126-nucleotide non-coding RNA. NCBI's taxonomy places the organism in Eukaryota, Viridiplantae, Streptophyta, Magnoliopsida, Poales, Poaceae. The record is from Rfam.